This 254-nucleotide ribosomal RNA is filed under the name uncultured bacterium. RNAcentral describes it as "partial 16S ribosomal RNA". It matches the Rfam family "Bacterial small subunit ribosomal RNA", at positions 524 to 776 of the family's 1533-position model. The record is from RNAcentral.
GACGUAGGGAGCAAGCGUUGUCCGGAUUUACUGGGCGUAAAGCGCGCGUAGGCGGCCUAUUAAGUGUAGAGUGAAAUCUCCAACGCUCAACGUGGAAAUUGCUCUGCAUACUGGUAGGCUAGAGGGACGUAGAGGUAACUGGAAUUCCCGGUGUAGCGGUGACAUGCAUUGAUAUCGGGAGGAACACCCAUGGCGAAGGCAGGUUACUGGACGUCUCCUGACGCUGAGGUGCGAAAGCGUGGGUAGCAAACAGG